Molecule: long non-coding RNA, 466 nt
Organism: Myotis myotis
Lineage: Eukaryota; Metazoa; Chordata; Mammalia; Chiroptera; Vespertilionidae
Exons: 3
Source: RefSeq, a predicted model, not a curated record
GAGCAGCCAAUCAGCGUCCCCGCGGCUCCCGGGUAUAACUCCUCCGCGGAAGCGCCGGGACUCAGAUGGUCCCCCCGACGCCGAGGAUGCGGGUCCUGAGGCCCCCCCACCCUCCUCCUGCUGCUCUCGGGGGCGCUGGUCCUGACCCCCAGCUGGGCCGGCCCCCACUCCCUGAUGUAUUUCCUCACCGCCGUGUCCCGGCCCGGCCGCGGGGAGCCCCGCUUCCUCGCCUUCGGCUACGUGGACGACACGCAGUUCGUGCGGUUCGACAGCGACGCCCCGAAUCCGAGGAUGGAGCCGCGGGCGCCGUGGAUGCAGCAGCCGUGGGUGGAGCGGGAGAGGCCGGGGUAUUGGGAGGAGCAGACGCUGAGGGCCAAGGGAGACGCACAGACUUUCCGAAUGGAAUUGCAGACCGCCCUCGGCUACUACAACCAGAGCGAGGACGGGUCUCACACCAUCCAGAGCA